Molecule: microRNA precursor, 76 nt
Filed under: Loxodonta africana (African savanna elephant)
Lineage: Eukaryota; Metazoa; Chordata; Mammalia; Proboscidea; Elephantidae
Description: miRNA (ENSLAFG00000032537.1)
Source: RNAcentral
UGUGUGUGUGUGUGUGUGUGCAUGUGUGUGUGUACGCAUGUAGAUAAACACACACACACACAUACACACACAUACA